RNAcentral lists this transfer RNA (66 nucleotides) under Marmota monax (woodchuck). Its description in RNAcentral is "tRNA.Tyr". Lineage: Eukaryota; Metazoa; Chordata; Mammalia; Rodentia; Sciuridae. The record is from RNAcentral.
GGUGGAGCUCAGUGGUAGAGUACUUGCUUGUAAUAUGCAAGGCCCUGGGUUCAAUACUCAGUACCA